AUUGAACGCUGGCGGCAGGCUUAACACAUGCAAGUCGAGCGGGGUGAUGGUGCUUGCACUAUCACUUAGCGGCGGACGGGUGAGUAAUGCUUAGGAAUCUGCCUAUUAGUGGGGGACAACAUCUCGAAAGGGAUGCUAAUACCGCAUACGUCCUACGGGAGAAAGCAGGGGAUCACUUGUGACCUUGCGCUAAUAGAUGAGCCUAAGUCGGAUUAGCUAGUUGGUGGGUUAAAGGCCUACCAAGGCGACGAUCUGUAGCGUGUCUGCGAGGAUGAGUCGCCACACUGGGACUGAGGCCCGGCCCAGGCUCCGACGGGAGCUAGCAGUGGGGAAUAUUGGCCAAUGGGGGGAACCCUGAUCCAGCCAUGCCGCGUGUGUGAAGAAGGCCUUAUGGUUGUAAAGCACUUUAAGCGAGGAGGAGGCUCUUUUGGUUAAUACCCAAGAUGAGUGGACGUUACUCGCAGAAUAAGCACCGGCUAACUCUGUGCCAGCAGCCGCCGUAA
Molecule: ribosomal RNA, 503 nt
Filed under: uncultured bacterium
Lineage: Bacteria
Description: partial 16S ribosomal RNA
Rfam family: Bacterial small subunit ribosomal RNA
Source: RNAcentral